AUUGAACGCUGGCGGCAGGCCUAACACAUGCAAGUCGAACGGUAACAGGAAGAAUCGUGCUUCGUUGCUGGCGGGAGGCGGGCGUGUGAGUAAUGUGAGCGUGACUUCCUGUGGGGGGGAGCUAGGUACAGGAAAGGGUAGCUAAGACCGCAUAAUGCGGCAGGACCAGAGGGGGGGACGGUCGGGCCGCUUGCGAGUUGCUGGGCCCAUAUGGGAUUAGCUAGUAGGUGGGGUAACGGCCUACCUAGGCGACGAUCCCUAGCUGGUCUGGGAGGAUGACCAGCCACACUGGAACUGAGACACGGUCCAGACUCCUACGGGAGGCAGCAGUGGGGAAUAUUGGACAAUGGGCGAAAGCCUGAUGCAGCCAUGCCGCGUGUAUGAAGAAGGCCUUCGGGUUGUAAAGUACUUUCAGCGGGGAGGAAGGGAGUAAAGCUAAUACCUUUGCUCAUUGACGUUACCCGAAGAAGAAGCACCGGCUAACUCCGUG
Molecule: ribosomal RNA, 490 nt
Filed under: uncultured bacterium
Lineage: Bacteria
Description: partial 16S ribosomal RNA
Rfam family: Bacterial small subunit ribosomal RNA
Source: RNAcentral